RNAcentral lists this ribosomal RNA (371 nucleotides) under Nostoc carneum K90. Its description in RNAcentral is "bacterial SSU rRNA". It matches the Rfam family "Bacterial small subunit ribosomal RNA", at positions 359 to 744 of the family's 1533-position model. Lineage: Bacteria; Bacillati; Cyanobacteriota; Cyanophyceae; Nostocales; Nostocaceae. The record is from RNAcentral.
GAAUUUUCCGCAAUGGGCGAAAGCCUGACGGAGCAAUACCGCGUGAGGGAGGAAGGCUCUUGGGUUGUAAACCUCUUUUCUCAGGGAAGAACAUAAUGACGGUACCUGAGGAAUAAGCAUCGGCUAACUCCGUGCCAGCAGCCGCGGUAAUACGGAGGAUGCAAGCGUUAUCCGGAAUGAUUGGGCGUAAAGCGUCCGCAGGUGGCAAUGUAAGUCUGCUGUUAAAGAGUGAGGCUCAACCUCAUAAGAGCAGUGGAAACUACAUAGCUAGAGUGCGUUCGGGGCAGAGGGAAUUCCUGGUGUAGCGGUGAAAUGCGUAGAGAUCAGGAAGAACACCGGUGGCGAAAGCGCUCUGCUAGGCCGCAACUGAC